RNAcentral lists this ribosomal RNA (484 nucleotides) under uncultured bacterium. RNAcentral's name for it is "partial 16S ribosomal RNA". It matches the Rfam family "Bacterial small subunit ribosomal RNA", at positions 30 to 507 of the family's 1533-position model. The record is from RNAcentral.
AUUGAACGCUGGCGGCAGGCCUAACACAUGCAAGUCGAGCGGAUGAAGGGAGCUUGCUCCUGGAUUCAGCGGCGGACGGGUGAGUAAUGCCUAGGAAUCUGCCUGGUAGUGGGGGAUAACGUCCGGAAACGGGCGCUAAUACCGCAUCCGUCCUGAGGGAGAAAGUGGGGGAUCUUCGGACCUCACGCUAUCAGAUGAGCCUAGGUCGGAUUAGCUAGUUGGUGGGGUAAAGGCCUACCAAGGCGACGAUCCGUAACUGGUCUGAGAGGAUGAUCAGUCACACUGGAACUGAGACACGGUCCAGACUCCUACGGGAGGCAGCAGUGGGGAAUAUUGGACAAUGGGCGAAAGCCUGAUCCAGCCAUGCCGCGUGUGUGAAGAAGGUCUUCGGAUUGUAAAGCACUUUAAGUUGGGAGGAAGGGAAGUAAGUUAAUACCUGGCUGUUUUGACGUUACCAACAGAAUAAGCACCGGCUAACUUCGUG